UGCACGCAAGUGCGAUAAGGGGACCCCAAGUGCGAGGGCAUAUAGUCCUCGCUUUUCACGACUGUAAGGCGGUCGUGGAAUAAGAGCUGGGCAAGACCGGUGCCAGCCGCCGCGGUAAUACCGGCAGCUCAAGUGAUGACCGAUAUUAUUGGGCCUAAAGCGUCCGUAGCCGGCCACGAAGGUUCAUCGGGAAAUCCGCCAGCUCAACUGGCGGGCGUCCGGUGAAAACCACGUGGCUUGGGACCGGAAGGCUCGAGGGGUACGUCCGGGGUAGGAGUGAAAUCCCGUAAUCCUGGACGGACCACCGAUGGCGAAAGCACCUCGAGAAGACGGAUCCGACGGUGAGGGACGAAAGCUAGGGUCUCGAACCGGAUUAGAUACCCGGGUAGUCCUAGCUGUAAACGAUGCUCGCUAGGUGUGACACAGGCUACGAGCCUGUGUUGUGCCGUAGGGAAGCCGAGAAGCGAGCCGCCUGGGAAGUACGUCCGCAAGGAUGAAACUUAAAGGAAUUGGCGGGGGAGCACUACAACCGGAGGAGCCUGCGGUUUAAUUGGACUCAACGCCGGACAUCUCACCAGCUCCGACUACAGUGAUGACGAUCAGGUUGAUGACCUUAUCACGACGCUGUAGAGAGGAGGUGCAUGGCCGCCGUCAGCUCGUACCGUGAGGCGUCCUGUUAAGUCAGGCAACGAGCGAGACCCGCACUUCUAAUUGCCAGCAGCAGUUUCGACUGGCUGGGUACAUUAGAAGGACUGCCGCUGCUAAAGCGGAGGAAGGAACGGGCAACGGUAGGUCAGUAUGCCCCGAAUGAGCUGGGCUACACGCGGGCUACAAUGGUCGAGACAAUGGGUUGCUAUCUCGAAAGAGAACGCUAAUCUCCUAAACUCGAUCGUAGUUCGGAUUGAGGGCUGAAACUCGCCCUCAUGAAGCUGGAUUCGGUAGUAAUCGCAUUUCAAUAGAGUGCGGUGAAUACGUCCCUGCUCCUUGCACACACCGCCCGUCAAAGCACCCGAGUGAGGUCCGGAUGAGGC
This 1031-nucleotide ribosomal RNA is filed under the name Haloferax volcanii. Its description in RNAcentral is "bacterial SSU rRNA". It matches the Rfam family "Archaeal small subunit ribosomal RNA", at positions 356 to 1383 of the family's 1478-position model. The record is from RNAcentral. Lineage: Archaea; Methanobacteriati; Methanobacteriota; Halobacteria; Halobacteriales; Haloferacaceae.